GAUCAUGGUCAGGAUGAACGCUAGCGACAGGCUUAACACAUGCAAGUCGAGGGGCAUCAUGAGGUAGCAAUACCUUGAUGGCGACCGGCGCACGGGUGAGUAACGCGUAUGCAACCUGCCUGAUACCGGGGUAUAGCCCAUGGAAACGUGGAUUAACACCCCAUAGUACUUUUAUCCUGCAUGGGAUGUGAGUUAAAUGUUCAAGGUAUCGGAUGGGCAUGCGUCCUAUUAG
RNAcentral lists this ribosomal RNA (232 nucleotides) under uncultured bacterium. RNAcentral's name for it is "partial 16S ribosomal RNA". It matches the Rfam family "Bacterial small subunit ribosomal RNA", at positions 15 to 244 of the family's 1533-position model. The record is from RNAcentral.